UACGGGGGGGGCAAGCGUUGUUCGGAAUUACUGGGCGUAAAGGGCUCGUAGGCGGCCAACUAAGUCGGACGUGAAAUCCCCAGGCUCAACCUGGGAACUGCGUCCGAUACUGGAUGGCUUGAAUUCGGGAGAGGGAUGCGGAAUUCCAGGUGUAGCGGUGAAAUGCGUAGAUAUCUGGAGGAACACCGGUGGCGAAGGCGGCAUCCUGGACCGGUAUUGACGCUGAGGCGCGAAAGCCAGGGGAGCAAACGGG
Molecule: ribosomal RNA, 253 nt
Filed under: uncultured bacterium
Lineage: Bacteria
Description: partial 16S ribosomal RNA
Rfam family: Bacterial small subunit ribosomal RNA
Source: RNAcentral